Molecule: long non-coding RNA, 1115 nt
Organism: Halichondria panicea
Lineage: Eukaryota; Metazoa; Porifera; Demospongiae; Suberitida; Halichondriidae
Exons: 2
Source: RefSeq, a predicted model, not a curated record
UAAAAUCGCAAAAUCUCUGGUAUAUAUUAUCAGGAGUGUAUGAAGAGGAGUAUGCGACUCCCAUGCACAUUCCAUUCUAUAUUUCGGAUUGAAUCCGUCACUAACACUUGUAGUUGUGUAAACUGUUAGCCAUGCAUAAAUGUGGGCUUGGAGGUACAAACCACAUGCGUGUAUGCUGAUAUCAUUUUUAACUAAUUCUACGCACCCACUUAAGAUGCGGUCUGAUAGUGACGUAGUAUGACAUACUGGUACCGAAACAUGGUUUACACUACAACUGCUACAGUUGGAUACUCCUCUUCAUACACUCCUGAUAUUAUGCUGCAUGGUAGCUUGCAAAGGGUCACAUUUUCUGCUGAUCUGAUUUGGCUCAUUUUCUUCACUCGCAAACUAACUGCAUGAUUCUAGGUAUAAUUUUUACGUUUUGGCAGGUCCUAUGAUUUCCUCUAGGGUGAUUUUCAGGGUCCACGCACUUAAUAAAGUCAGACUGCAUUUUGAAUGUACCAGGAAUGAACCUGCAUGUAUAUAUAAUUCUGUGCAUAGGUCGGAGUAUAAUUAUUCAAAGCAUGCAUGCUCAGGGGUAUUAAGGACUGUCCAAAUUAAAAUGACAUGGAAUUUUGUUAUAAUGAUAUUCAUGUGCGCGACGUCAUCGCUUUGGAAUGUUUAUCACGUGCGUGGGUGGCAAAUGUCUGCAAUUACUAGUGAGGGCGGAGCUUGGGUCACAUGACACUGUACUUAAUUUAUUAAAGUUGACCGUAGCUAGUUGAUCGAGUAAAACCCUGAAAGCAUUUGUUGUAGGCUACCUAGUAGCUAUUAAAGGCCUUAACUAAGACUAUUAGAUAGUAGAGAACUUGUUUCCUGCUGCGCAAGACAGAGUGCAGCCAAGCAAGAAAGUUAGGAGGAGAAAUCAGGGACAAUUCAGCAGGAUUUCAUCAGUAUAUGAUAUGUACAUCAGGAUUCCUGGAAAAGAUAGGAUCUAACUAACCUGGAACAAAUGCUUUAUUUAUAAUUAGUUUUACAAUGAAAUUUCAUGUUAAUUGGUCACAUGAUAAUCACAUGAUCUUUAUUUUUGAUUAAGGAAACUUAAAUUUUUAUGAGAAAACAAAAUGUCAAAUUGA